ACUCCUACGGGAGGCAGCAGUGGGGAAUAUUGGACAAUGGGCGCAAGCCUGAUCCAGCCAUGCCGCGUGUGUGAAGAAGGCCUUCGGGUUGUAAAGCACUUUCAGUGGGGAAGAAAGCCUGGGACCUAAUACGUCCGAGGAAGGACAUCACCCACAGAAGAAGCACCGGCUAACUCCGUGCCAGCAGCCGCGGUAAUACGGAGGGUGCGAGCGUUAAUCGGAAUUACUGGGCGUAAAGCGCGCGUAGGCGGUCUGAUAAGCCGGUUGUGAAAGCCCCGGGCUCAACCUGGGAACGGCAUCCGGAACUGUCAGGCUAGAGUGCAGGAGAGGAAGGUAGAAUUCCCGGUGUAGCGGUGAAAUGCGUAGAGAUCGGGAGGAAUACCAGUGGCGAAGGCGGCCUUCUGGACUGACACUGACGCUGAGGUGCGAAAGCGUGGGUAGCAAACAGGAUUAGAAACCCCAGUAGUCC
This 469-nucleotide ribosomal RNA is filed under the name uncultured bacterium. Its description in RNAcentral is "bacterial SSU rRNA". It matches the Rfam family "Bacterial small subunit ribosomal RNA", at positions 335 to 796 of the family's 1533-position model. The record is from RNAcentral.